Molecule: long non-coding RNA, 565 nt
Organism: Eucalyptus grandis
Lineage: Eukaryota; Viridiplantae; Streptophyta; Magnoliopsida; Myrtales; Myrtaceae
Exons: 4
Source: RefSeq, a predicted model, not a curated record
CCACUUCACUUUGCUGUACUUGCCCGAGUUCUGUCUCUCCCACGUGCAGGUCUGUUCGAAGUUGCAGCAGCUUCAACCCUUGCAAAAUCGCUAGGGUUUCAGCUUGAAUCGGGGAUGAGGCUCGGACCUUCCGCACAAAACCGUCGAUCACUUGCCCGGCGUGGUCCCGCAAAAUACCAGCGAUUGAUCCGGUUUGUUCCCCCUGUUUCCAAGAUCCGUCGACGUUCAUCUUCAGCUUUCCUUCCUCCGGUGGCCUCCACUGGUUCGGUCUACUAUGGUGUUCGGUUCCAGUUUUUGGCCUCUGAAGAUCAAAUUGUUGCGUGCUUUCCAGACAAACCAGAGGAUCAUCGCUAGCAGCUCUUUCUCGGAGAAGAAACAGGUGCUCGGUUGUUUCCACUUGAUUAUUGCAUAGCGUGCAAAGGGGUUGAGGACUUGUAGGCUUUCUCGAAUGUAAAAUUCUUUUGCAACAUGUGCACGUCGGAGCAAUAUCUUGUUAUGCUGAUGACAUACAAAGAGACUCCAUUAUUCUUACACCAUCAUGUGACAUUCUUUAUUCCUUUCUUUU